RNAcentral lists this ribosomal RNA (379 nucleotides) under uncultured cyanobacterium. RNAcentral describes it as "bacterial SSU rRNA". It matches the Rfam family "Bacterial small subunit ribosomal RNA", at positions 376 to 770 of the family's 1533-position model. The record is from RNAcentral. Lineage: Bacteria; Bacillati; Cyanobacteriota.
CGAAAGCCUGACGGAGCAACGCCGCGUGAGGGAUGAAGGCCUCUGGGCUGUAAACCUCUUUUCUCAAGGAAGAAGAUCUGACGGUACUUGAGGAAUAAGCCACGGCUAAUUCCGUGCCAGCAGCCGCGGUAAUACGGGAGUGGCAAGCGUUAUCCGGAAUUAUUGGGCGUAAAGCGUCCGCAGGCGGUCUUGUAAGUCUGUCGUUAAAGCGUGGAGCUUAACUCCAUUUAAGCGAUGGAAACUGCAAGACUAGAGUGUGGUAGGGGCAGAGGGAAUUCCCGGUGUAGCGGUGAAAUGCGUAGAUAUCGGGAAGAACACCAGUGGCGAAGGCGCUCUGCUGGGCCAUAACUGACGCUCAUGGACGAAAGCCAGGGGAGCG